UACGUAGGGGGCGAGCGUUGUCCGGAUUUAUUGGGCGUAAAGAGCUCGUAGGCGGUUUGGCAAGUCGGGUGUGAAAACUCCGAGCUUAACUCGGAGACGCCACUCGAUACUGCCAUGACUUGAGUCUGGUAGGGGAGCACGGAAUUCCUGGUGUAGCGGUGAAAUGCGCAGAUAUCAGGAGGAACACCGGUAGCGAAGGCGGUGCUCUGGGCCAGUACUGACGCUGAGGAGCGAAAGCGUGGGUAGCAAACAGG
RNAcentral lists this ribosomal RNA (254 nucleotides) under uncultured bacterium. Its description in RNAcentral is "partial 16S ribosomal RNA". It matches the Rfam family "Bacterial small subunit ribosomal RNA", at positions 524 to 776 of the family's 1533-position model. The record is from RNAcentral.